AUUGAACGCUGGCGGAAGGCCUAACACAUGCAAGUCGAGCGGAUGAAGGGAGCUUGCUCCUGGAUUCAGCGGCGGACGGGUGAGUAAUGCCUAGGAAUCUGCCUGGUAGUGGGGGAUAACGUCCGGAAACGGGCGCUAAUACCGCAUACGUCCUGAGGGAGAAAGUGGGGGAUCUUCGGACCUCACGCUAUCAGAUGAGCCUAGGUCGGAUUAGCUAGUUGGUGGGGUAAAGGCCUACCAAGGCGACGAUCCGUAACUGGUCUGAGAGGAUGAUCAGUCACACUGGAACUGAGACACGGUCCAGACUCCUACGGGAGGCAGCAGUGGGGAAUAUUGGACAAUGGGCGAAAGCCUGAUCCAGCCAUGCCGCGUGUGUGAAGAAGGACUUCGGAUUGUAAAGCACUUUAAGUUGGGAGGAAGGGCAGUAAGUUAAUACCUUGCUGUUUUGACGUUACCAACAGAAUAAGCACCGGCUAACUUCGUG
RNAcentral lists this ribosomal RNA (484 nucleotides) under uncultured bacterium. RNAcentral's name for it is "partial 16S ribosomal RNA". It matches the Rfam family "Bacterial small subunit ribosomal RNA", at positions 30 to 507 of the family's 1533-position model. The record is from RNAcentral.